Oryzias latipes (Japanese medaka) is the source of this 3539-nucleotide non-coding RNA. The record is from RefSeq and is a predicted model, not a curated record. Lineage: Eukaryota; Metazoa; Chordata; Actinopteri; Beloniformes; Adrianichthyidae.
UCUAAACAGUGCAAAAGAGCAAUGAGAUGGUUAAAGUGGCAGUUUAAAGUGACAACAGUGCGGAGAACAGUAAGUAGAUGAUGGUCGGUGAUGGCAGUCUUUGGUGAAGAUGAUAUUCUGAACAGGUGUGAAAGUUUUUAUUCUUUUCAUUGUUUUCUUUUUUUCCUUGGUAAGAUGACUUACUAACUAGCUAGUAUUGAUUAUCUUUCAGAUCUUCAGAUAGCCUUGGGCCAGUUGUUCAAAGGUAAGCUGAUCGGAUUUUGGUGAUCGGAUUGGAUCAAAUCUUGAAAAUGGGUUGUUCAAAAGGGAAAGAAGGAAUCUGAAAUCAGAUUAGAUCACAGAAUCCGAUCCUAGUUCUAAUCUGGAUCAAACCUUCAGUUUGUGUUGGUCAAAACUUGUCAGUAGGAUUUGGAUAACUUUGAUCCAAAAAAGCUGGAUUAUCCUGAUCACAACAGGGGGUAGGAUUUAAAGGUGGAUUCCAGAAGGGAAAUGUAGAAAACUUUAAAAUUGGUCAAAUAAUACAUUUGUUUCAUUUAGUGUUUAUACUUUUAUUUAUAUUUUGCACUUGACUUGUGUAACCGUUGUAACAGUGAUGAAGUAGAUACAGUAGACAUAGGCUACCAGUUAAGCUAUUCAGUAAAGUAAAAACAACCAAAGCAGAACUGCAGAUCCGCCUCCUAAAAGCAGAGCUUGGAAAUGCUGGUCUCUCCUCCUCAGAUAAAAAAACUCCCUGAACAUUCUUUGUUUUGUUAACUAUUGGAGAUUUAGCCAUUUUAUUUAAGACGUUUUCAAAAUAUCCACAAUGUAUUUGUAAAUGUAUAUUUGUUUUUUUAUUUUUUGUGACUCAGAUGAGGGGUCAUAAAAGAAAUUAUGAAUGGAAGUGGAUGUUUGUUAUUUUGUGUUUUGUCUCAGAAUAACAAACUCUUACAGUGACCCCAUGUUGGCUCUUCUACCUGUUCUUUACAUAGCUGGUAGCCCGUGUCGUGAUAUGUUGUCCCAUUUAGAGCACAGGUAAUCUGGAUUUGGUAAUCUUGAAAACUGUGUAUCUGGAUCAGGGUGAUCCAGUCCAAUGUUGCUUUGAAAAACUGGCAUAAAAGUAAGACGGAUUACCUGAUCCUGCAAAGGAAAAUAUGUGAUUUCCACAUCUGGAUCAUUUUGAUCCAGAUUAAACUUUUUGAACAACUGGCCCCUUAAUUUCGAAGGCCAUGAACACACAAAGGACCAGAGAGAGUUUGCCUUCACUGCACCUCUGUGGACAUAAAGUGAACAGGUCUUAGGGAUUCGCUGUCUUCCCCUGCCACAUCCACACACAUUGCAAAGGUGUGCAGUGGUCCACAUACUUAAAACACUUCAGCCUUUCAUUCUAUGAGGUAUCUGAUGUACAAAUUUUGAGCUUGUAUGUGCUAUCUUCAUUGUUGUGAAAGAUAGCCCAAUGAAUGGUUCGGUGUCUUGCCCAAGAACACUUCAACACAUGAGAAGAGCACGGCAAUGCGCCUCGGGUUCGUAUGGGGACCCGAACCUGCAAUCUUCUGAUCAGAGGUCGACUGGCUGGACCAUUUGGAGCUCAUCUUCAACACCGUCAGGGCAUCAGGAGGCUGGAGUAACAAUCCCACUGCAGGGCAGUUCCAGGGCCUUUUCUGCCGUUCGUUGUGGUGUCUCAUAAAGUGGGCCAGGAAACAUGGCAGCUCAUGCUGAGACUGUCUCCCUGUCAGCUGCAGAUAUGCACUUCGCUUUGAUGCCACGGGAAGAUCUAUGGAGACCAAAUAGAACCUCUAGAUUUGGUUGCUGGAGCCUAUCCUAGCCACUGUUGGGCGACAACCUGGAAGGUUUGCAAGUCCAUCGUAAGGCCAGCAGUGGUUCCAUCCAUCAAUAAAGAGCAACAUAUGAAAUACGGUGAUACGGCUUUAUAUUGUGUGAAGAUAGCUCGUAUUUUUGAAGUAACACUAAAAUCAUCUGCAUAAUGAAGACUGAAGUAGUGAACGUCCUCUUCUUCCUUUGAAUUAUUAGCUUUGAUCCAACCUGCAUGUGCAAGAGCAAAAAAAUAAAUAAAUCAACAAAACAGGCAUCUGGAUCAGACUUUAGGAAUAAAAAUAUUUACAGAUUUUUCUUUUUAAAUUAGUAGUAAAGAGAGUAAGACUCAGAUUUAUAUUAAAUAACCAACUUAAACAUUAAAUACAUUCAUAAUCCCCCAGCAUUUUGGAGUGACAUGCGCAUUUAAGUCUCUAAACCAUAAGUGUGUCGUUAAAAAGUAAUUUUCAUAACAAAACCAGACUGGAAUGUUUAUAAUGCUUUACAUUUACUCGUUCUGAAUAAAAUAUGCUUGCAGGAACAUUAUUGGUCCAGAAAAUACACGAUUUACACAGAAUCACACGGGAAAACAGGUCAAAGAUAAAACUUUCAAACUGCAAAUCACACAUGACAACCAUUUCCUUUAUUUUUUUUCCUUAGAGAAUUCACUAUCAAAACCAUAAGUCAACGUCGUCAUUCAAAAAAGCAGUUUUCACAGAUUACCCUACAGGUGGCAGCAUCAGGCUUUUUAAUGACUGAUCCUUUCCUAGAACUGGGAUUUUAUGUAAAGUUGCAGCAAAUCCCACUGGCAGUUCCUCCUUUCAACAGAGUGUCCAGCUUCACAAUUCUGAAACCGAGAAAAGCUCUCUUUUGUAAACUUUCACAAGCAUGCUGGAAAUUUUCCCCGGAUCAUUUAAUGUUUGUGGGCAUUGAGAUUUACAGAGCGUCUCUGAGGUUUUUCUGAAGAGGGAAUUUUUAAAUGUUUUAUUGCAGUCUUGGAAGCAAAAGUUGGGGUGGAUGUUCCAUGAUGGAAACCAGUUUGUUAGUGAUUCUCUCUGACUUUCAGUUUUGGUCUAUUGGAAGUUCACAAAUCAUUCACACCUUUCUUGAGACUGCUGACAUUUGUUUGAGCUCUUCUUGAAGAUAGAUUGGCAGAGCAUGUUCUACACAGUGCUGCAUGAAAAAGUAAGUUGCUAAGAACAUACUGUAUAAUAGUUGACCUGUUUACCCUGUAAAGUCUUCCAAAGAAAAUUGAUUAGGUCAUGUUUCUUUUAAUGUUUACUUGUACAAAUCCAAGAUGACAUCUUAUGCACAUGCAAUGCACAUUGAAUCAGUUGAUUUGUUUGGUAAAACUAUAACUAUGCCCCCUUUUUUUGUUAUUUUAGGACCACACAGUGUUCUUAUUGAGCAGCUGACAUCUACAGCCAAAUUAAAAUAAAUUUCAUUUUGGCGUACAGUGACCUUUUUCCCGUUUGUAUCAAGAGCUUCUUUGACAGCACGUUUUCAGGAGCAGCUUUCACAUGCAAAUGGAAUAUUCAACUCCAGACCUUUUACCUGCUUAAUUUAAGAAGAAAUAAUGAGGUAAGACCCUACACCUGUUCAUCAAACAACGACUCUGUUGGUUGUCCAAUUAGACCUUAGCAUCUGAAGAGGAGGCUUCUACAUAUCAAAGAUCUUUGAUUUUUCAAACAUUAACUUAAAGGUUACUAUCCAUUUCAAUUCCAAAUCCAUCAGAGUACUGUUAUAUAUUU